AGUAACGGCGAGUGAAGCGGUAACAGCUCAAAUUUGAAAUCUGACCUUCACGGGUCCGAGUUGUAAUUUGUAGAGGAUGUUUCGGAUAAGGCUUUGGUUUAAGUUUCUUGGAACAGAACGUCAUAGAGGGUGAGAGUCCCGUCUAGAACCGAUAGCCGCGUUCAUGUGAAACUCCUUCGACGAGUCGAGUUGUUUGGGAAUGCAGCUCAAAAUGGGUGGUAAAUUUCAUCUAAAGCUAAAUAUUGGCCAGAGACCGAUAGCGCACAAGUAGAGUGAUCGAAAGAUGAAAAGCACUUUGAAAAGAGAGUUAAACAGUAUGUGAAAUUGUUGAAAGGGAAGCGCUUGCAACCAGACUUGUGUUUAACGGUUCCCCUGUGUCUUUUGACCAGGCUAUUCCGUUAUAUCCAGGCCAGCAUCGGUUCGGGUGGUUGGUUAAAGGCCUUGGGAAUGUAUCUACCUUCG
RNAcentral lists this ribosomal RNA (462 nucleotides) under salal root associated fungus UBCtra1.14. RNAcentral describes it as "eukaryotic LSU rRNA". It matches the Rfam family "Eukaryotic large subunit ribosomal RNA", at positions 82 to 548 of the family's 3401-position model. The record is from RNAcentral. Lineage: Eukaryota; Fungi; Ascomycota.